GUUUUGCUGCUGAGGUUUUGCUAAGUGCUUUGCAUGUCACAGGAUCCUUAGCUAUUCUUAAGGUCCACACUGAAAUCUGGCUGAGAGACAAUAAAAGCAACAAAUACUGCUUUGUCUGGCAAUGUUUACAAAGCAGGGAGGCCUGAGGCUCUGGUUGUCUGUUCAAGGCAAUCUGUCACUGUCACACCAUGAUAACCUCAGAGUUCUUUCUGUCUAGCUGCAGGGUAUUCAAAGAAAAGAUGCUGACCUGAUUGUGGUGGGUUGAAUGGCGAACUUCAGGAACGUUAUGCAUGUAAGAACUUUAAUGUUUUUAAAGAGGAAGGACUAACAAGAAGGACUCACCAGUGCUCAAUUCCCAGCUGGUUGUGUGGGAACAUGAGGAAAGAUGAGCUUGCCCACCUUGGCUACAGAGAGUCAGAGAAAGACUGGAGCAGGAAAGAAGCUGGUAGGAAGCAACUUCUGGUUGAAAAGAGAUUGGAGACAGCUCCCACAGCUGCGCACCACAUCCCCACACAGGGUCAUCGGCAGCCUCAGUGGUGUGACACUGGGAGUGAGGAGGCAGAACAGUAGCAGGUCCCCAGGGUGCUGCGCUCCUGGUUCUCCAUGUCCUUUGUGUGCCACGGUGCUCCACAGAUCUCCACGGGGCUCUGGUUGGCCUUGGAGGCUGGAGAAGAAGGAAACAACUCUGGGAAGUCUGAACAUCUGCUAAAAUCAUGAUGGUUGGGGAUGAGCUCAUAGCAGUGCUGCAGUGAUGGAAGAGCUGAGUCUUGUAUGAGUUCCAGGUCUCCUGGAACAGUGCAGUGCAAUCUUCCAUUAUAUGAAUCGAGAUAAACUUGGCAGAGGUUCUCAGCUUCUGAGUCGUUUCCACAGGGCUGACCAUUCCUUGGACCUUAGCUGGACCACAUCCGGGUGCUGAAAUAACACUGGUAUACGGGUGGCUUUCUUGUUUCUCACAAAUAAUUUGAUUCUUAAUUUUAACCUGACUUUUCUCAGUCAUAAUUGUAAAUCUCCUAAAAAAAGAAAUUCAAAGGAGGCUUGUCUUGAUAGGGCUCAACAUAAUUGAGAAUAAAUCAAGACCUUUUGUUUCCUGGUAAAAUAAAUUCUGUGUCGCAAGUCUGGGUCAGAAACCAGGUUUACGACAGGGCGUCCGGAUGUCUCUGCGGCUUCCUAUUCGCCGCAGCUGCCAGGAUCCAGGACUCAUCCAGAUGACUGCAAG
Molecule: long non-coding RNA, 1216 nt
Filed under: Heterocephalus glaber (naked mole-rat)
Lineage: Eukaryota; Metazoa; Chordata; Mammalia; Rodentia; Bathyergidae
Description: lncRNA (ENSHGLG00000031551.2)
Source: RNAcentral